UACGGGGGGGGCAAGCGUUGUUCGGAAUUACUGGGCGUAAAGGGCUCGUAGGCGGCCAACUAAGUCAGACGUGAAAUCCCUCGGCUUAACCGGGGAACUGCGUCUGAUACUGGAUGGCUAGAGUGUGGGAGAGGGAUGCGGAAUUCCAGGUGUAGCGGUGAAAUGCGUAGAUAUCUGGAGGAACACCGGUGGCGAAGGCGGAAUCCUGGACCACGACUGACGCUGAGUGAGCGAAAGCCAGGGGAGCAAACGGG
This 254-nucleotide ribosomal RNA is filed under the name uncultured bacterium. RNAcentral's name for it is "partial 16S ribosomal RNA". It matches the Rfam family "Bacterial small subunit ribosomal RNA", at positions 524 to 776 of the family's 1533-position model. The record is from RNAcentral.